RNAcentral lists this unclassified non-coding RNA (665 nucleotides) under Hevea brasiliensis (rubber tree). Lineage: Eukaryota; Viridiplantae; Streptophyta; Magnoliopsida; Malpighiales; Euphorbiaceae. The record is from RNAcentral.
GAGAGAGAGAGAGAGAGAGACCACAAGGUUAGGAAGUAAGUAGAGAAAAUGUAACCUAUGCAUCAUUUAAGGAAAGUGUUUGUAAUAUGGUUCAACCACUGCAAAAUUUUAAGGUAGAAACUUAGCAUCAAACUAAAUUAUGUUCAUGUCACUAACUGAAAGAGGAGAAUAAUAAAUUUGGCUUGGUUGAGCUUGCAAAGUUUGUUAUAACUUUGGUAUUAAAUUUCAUUUUGAUUCUAAUCCUAGCCAACAACUAAAAUUAAAAAGACAUGCUUGCCAAAGAAUGACCAGGUCACUCCCGCCCAUCACAUAGUUAUCUAGUUGGUGCCAAAUAUGUCACAGACAAUUAAGAAGACAUCUAAGAGUCAAACUCAGUAAGAGCCAAUGCAAUACCACUCUUCCUCUAAGUUUUUAUUAGUUUAGAAGAUACUUAACAAACUUUCUGCCAACAUAAUGAAGUAGACCUACUCUAGUCAAUUGAGGAAUAAAAUCCAUCGCAAUUUGAUACAGGCACAACUUUAAAUAAGAAAAGAAUGAAUGAACUAAAUUCUCGACUCUGCAAGUUAUGUUUUUCCCACAAUUAAACAACAGACAUAAAGAUGAUAGUUAUGACACUUGAAAGAACCAAAAAUCAACGAUUAUAGUAGAUAUUGUGUGUCAAUUGA